Molecule: ribosomal RNA, 1001 nt
Filed under: Kellermania dasylirionicola
Lineage: Eukaryota; Fungi; Ascomycota; Dothideomycetes; Botryosphaeriales; Planistromellaceae
Description: SSU rRNA
Rfam family: Eukaryotic small subunit ribosomal RNA
Source: RNAcentral
CUCAUUAAAUCAGUUAUCGUUUAUUUGAUAGUACCUUACUACUUGGAUAACCGUGGUAAUUCUAGAGCUAAUACAUGCUAAAAACCCCGACUUCGGAAGGGGUGUAUUUAUUAGACAAAAAACCAAUGCCCUUCGGGGCUCCUUGGUGAAUCAUGAUAACUUAACGAAUCGCAUGGCCUUGCGCCGGCGAUGGUUCAUUCAAAUUUCUGCCCUAUCAACUUUCGAUGGUAGGAUAGUGGCCUACCAUGGUAUCAACGGGUAACGGGGAAUUAGGGUUCUAUUCCGGAGAGGGAGCCUGAGAAACGGCUACCACAUCCAAGGAAGGCAGCAGGCGCGCAAAUUACCCAAUCCCGACACGGGGAGGUAGUGACAAUAAAUACUGAUACAGGGCUCUUUUGGGUCUUGUAAUUGGAAUGAGUACAAUUUAAAUACCUUAACGAGGAACAAUUGGAGGGCAAGUCUGGUGCCAGCAGCCGCGGUAAUUCCAGCUCCAAUAGCGUAUAUUAAAGUUGUUGCAGUUAAAAAGCUCGUAGUUGAACCUUGGGCCUGGCUGGCCGGUCCGCCUCACCGCGUGCACUGGUCCGGCCGGGCCUUUCCUUCUGGGGAUCCCCAUGCCCUUCACUGGGUGUGGCGGGGAACCAGGACUUUUACUUUGAAAAAAUUAGAGUGUUCAAAGCAGGCCUUUGCUCGAAUACAUUAGCAUGGAAUAAUAGAAUAGGACGUGCGGUCCUAUUUUGUUGGUUUCUAGGACCGCCGUAAUGAUUAAUAGGGAUAGUCGGGGGCAUCAGUAUUCAAUUGUCAGAGGUGAAAUUCUUGGAUUUAUUGAAGACUAACUACUGCGAAAGCAUUUGCCAAGGAUGUUUUCAUUAAUCAGUGAACGAAAGUUAGGGGAUCGAAGACGAUCAGAUACCGUCGUAGUCUUAACCGUAAACUAUGCCGACUAGGGAUCGGGCGAUGUUAUUAUUUUGACUCGCUCGGCACCUUACGAGAAAUCAAAGUCU